AAGUCGUAACAAGGUUUCCGUAGGUGAACCUGCGGAAGGAUCAUUAAUGAAUUUACUUGAGAGCUGAUGCUGGCUUUACCGCAUGUGCUCGCUCUCAUAAUUCUAUCCUUAUACACCUGUGCACACGCGAAGGAGGUUUGCCGGUUCGCAAGGACCGAAUCUCCUCCUUCCUUUCUUACAUACUCCAAAUUAACUGCGAACGUGAACGCCUUUUUACAAGGCAUAAACUUUAUACAACUUUUAACAACGGAUCUCUUGGCUCUC
RNAcentral lists this unclassified non-coding RNA (264 nucleotides) under fungal sp. RNAcentral describes it as "partial internal transcribed spacer region". The stretch from base 1 to 46 matches the Rfam family "Eukaryotic small subunit ribosomal RNA", at positions 1786 to 1831 of the family's 1831-position model. The record is from RNAcentral. Lineage: Eukaryota; Fungi.